Non-coding RNA from Meleagris gallopavo (turkey), 4066 nucleotides. NCBI's taxonomy places the organism in Eukaryota, Metazoa, Chordata, Aves, Galliformes, Phasianidae. The record is from RefSeq and is a predicted model, not a curated record.
CAGGAAGUUCAUUACAGAAUAACGAUACCAUCUCUAAUCAAGUGACAACUUUGAAACAAAGACUAGAGGAGCUGAAUCAUAGAGAAAAGCUCAUCAAAAUAAAAUAAGCAAUCGGGGCAGUAAGCAUGAGUCCAGAGGAGGGUUCCAUAGAUAAUGUGGUUGAAAGAUGCUGAUGAGGGAGAAGUAAUCUCCUCUAAAAAGGUAGCAUUCCUGGGAUGCUGCUCAAGAAAGCAGAGACCUUUCUGCUGGAGGACAUCACAUCAGUUGUUGGCCACAGGGAGGCUGUGAAGGCUGGCUGAAUGUGUAGAACCACCAGAAGGAGGAGGAAAAUACCCCAGCAAAAGUUUUAACUGCAACUCAUAGCUUAUAUGAGAUGUUUUCUGCAGAACCAUGGCUGCUGCUGCUCCAAUCUCCAGAAACUUGACUUCCUCUCAAAGCAUCCUCCUUUCAUGCCUGACAAACUCCAUGGUCUGCGGGGACGGGACAAAGGGAAACAGCCAUAAACUGGAGGAUAAGAAGUUCUGCACCAAUAUGUGAAGGAAAUUCUCCAUCGUGGGGGUGACAGAGCACUGGAACAGGCUGCCCCAGGAGGUUGUGGAAUCUCCUUCUCCAGAAAUAUUCAAGACUCACCAGGAUGCCUACCUGUGCAGCCUGCUGUAGGGAACCUGCUUUGGAGGGGGGUUGGACUUGAUGAUCUCUAGAGGUCCCUUUCAGCCCCUAUGAUUCUGAGAUUUCUGUAAAUUUUUGUUACUCUAAGCCACCCAUGAUACAUCUCUUUACAUCUUAGCCACAGAUACAAUAAAAUUUGCUUUAAAUGCUGAAGCAAGAAUUACUUCUGAAUAUAUGGCAUUUAAAACACAAGUACACAAAUCCCAUCGCUUUGUGCCAAGUGAUUUUGAUCUGAUUUGGAAAAAAAAAAGUCAUUUUAGAAACAGACUUCAGUUAGUAUUUGUUCUUCAGGAUUCCCAUCUCCCUAAUGCCUCUUGAACUAGACAUGUAAAAUAUUCAUAAAUCAAAGAAAAUAAACACAUCCCUGAAGGAAUUUUACUACACAAAUGUUAAGUUUGUAGAAGGCAGAUCAGUUCUUGUCAAGAUGUCAGUGAUCUCUGUUUCCAUUAAAUAUAAGGUAGCUGAAAAUAAGUCAGGGAAGAUUUAAAAUUUGAGCAGCAUUAUUCACCAUACAGAUGUCUAUUUUAUCCAUUUAGAUACGCUAUGAGCCAUAGUAAAAGAGAUUUCUUUACCUUUAAGAACAGAAGAAUGAAUACAUGCAAAGUUAGAUGUUGAACACAACUACCAACAUAGUGCAGGUGCAUGCAGCGGGUAAUGUUGCCAAGAACUUGAGAACUUUAGCAUUUGGUUUUACAACACUGAGGGCCUGACCCUUGCAAACUGAUCGGCCAGCCCUCAGCCCCUCCUUUAGCAAAGAUGGGGCCCCUUCGGCUCCUGGACAGAAGAAUGGUCUGUGACAGCCGCUUUUCAUUAGUGCGCUUUGUGUACUUCAUCGUUCUUCACAGAGCUCUUACAAAAAAAGACAGCAGAAAUGAACUAAGUGGAAAGUUUUCUCUCUUCAUUUUAUGCAAGCCAUCUUGCUAGCUAGCUGUGAUGGGAAAAUAAAGACAGGCUCAUUUUCUCCCAUCUUCCCCCCUUUAGUCUUCUUUUGCUCUCUCCAAAUGAGUCAACAUGCCAUUCUUGUGCAUUUUUAAUGAUUCAGGAGGACAACCACCUUGGAUAGAGAGUAGAACUAUGUCCUGUUCUGAUGUUCAUGAGUGGAUAGACUGCCCAUAAAAAUCACUAAUGUUAAUUUGCCAGCUGUGUGGUUUCCUUUACCUUCCUCUCAAUAAUUUUUCAGGAGAAACAAAGCGUUGGAGGUCUCUGCCUGACGAGGAUUUCAGGAGCAUAAGCGUUUCAAAUGAGCAAUAGUAUUGCAGCUAUGUGUUUCCCAUGAGAUCAGAUAUUUAAUCUUGCAGUCCUCUAAGCAACCAAUAGGAGACUCUUUCAUCUCACAUCACGAAAAUGAGCGUAUGACCAAGCAAAAUGUAAUGGAUGUUUACAUACGCAUGUACACAAAAUACUGCAGCACUCUCUUAACUCCCAAGGGUGCCACAGAGGAAGCAGCAACUGGCAACAUUUAAGUGGUUCCUUUGCUUAUUUUAACAUUUACAUACCAGAGUCUCAAUGCAGGGCUGAAUCACAUUAGCAUAAAUGCAUCUAUAUGGAGAUCAAAAAACACACACAAAGAUGUUUAGAAGACUGCAAACACUGAAAGAAAAGUUUUAAUUGAAUAAAAGCACAUUUUUCCAUUAGUUUCAAGAAAUAUAAACAAACUGCAGACUUAUAGAUAUCUUAUUCCAUUUUAGGAAAUGUAAGACCAUGCACUCUCACUUGUGCUAAAGGGAAUAACAGAUGAUCCUAAGACACUCGCUGGCACAGAAUUACUCACAACAUUGAAACAGCCUUUAAGUAGAUUAAUAUGUUUUGUGCCAUUAACUUCUACUAUUCCAAUUCUCUGUGUAUUGAAGCAUCGUUACAAUAUCCAUAGCAAGAUUACCGAGUAUAAAAAAGAAAGCUAGAGGACAAUAAAAAGGUAAUCAGCCAAGGCAGCGUUUUUAAUGCCCUUGCAUGUUUAUGCAUCAUUUGUUUUUGAAAUUAGAUUUCACACUACCAACCACCCACCUAGUUUCCUACUGCAAUUAUAUUUUAUUGCUCUUUAAAAGAACAGGGCCAUAAUUAUUAGCCACUAGUAAAUUUCUGCAUCCAUGCCGGAGUCACUGGCAGCGUAGGAGGGCAUUCUUCCCCUACCUAAGGCAACAAACUACUGCAUUUCAUCUGAUUUUAAACCUCAUAUCUACGUUUUCUUUUAUCUCCUUUACCUAGACGUUAAUUUUGGCCCAGUGCUAGAUACAUAUGAUAGCACAGAGGAAACACAGAUCCUGAAAUGCAGAGAGACAGACAUAAGAGAGCUCCUCGGAUGACAGAUGUGUUUACUUUAUCAAACACAGCAGUGCAAGCUGGUUGGAUUUUUUUUUAGAGCUGCAGACGUGAAAGCAAUGGGGCAGAAGACUGGGAAGUAAUAUAGUUCUCCAGCAGCUCUUUGGAUGACUGCUGUCAGUGGUUAUGCAUGACUUGGGGUCCUCUGUCACAGAGGAAGCACCUUCAGGCAGAAGAUAUCAGGCUGGAGGUCAUAGCCAUUUCAGAAAAAAAGUUUCUUCAAAAUCUGAUCAACUUUCAUGUCUGCAUUCAACUGCCAACAUCAAAAGAGAACAGUUGUAUUACUUUUGCACAUUCAGUAUUUGGGACACUGCAACCCAAUAUUUUCAGCCUCCACAGCUCACCUCUGCUGAAGGAGAACUGCAAGUGCCAAGGUGACCUACAAAGCUACACAUCCUGCUCUACCUCACCAUGUCUGUGCCCCUUAACAACUUCCAUCCUGGUUGCUGGACCAGGAACAGAUAAUAGUAGAGGCAUGAAUCAAAUGAAAAACUAAGAGAAAGGAAUCAAGGCUUUAAAAACUAAGAUAGAGAAAAGAACUUGUUGAUAUAUUUUUAUAAGCCAAUGUGAUUAACUUUUCAAAGAAACUUUAAUGAAAGACAAAAGUCUUGAAACUGCUUAAGAUUCCAAAUCAGUAACAAACUCAUGUUUGCACAUGCCUCUGUAUGAAUGCUAUCCACAUUUACUCAUAAACGCUUUCACAAAGACAUUUAAAUAUGAUUUAAUUGUUCCUUUUCUUCUUCCUCUUUUUUUUUUUUUAAACUACUAAAGACAUCUCCUUCUUUAAUUGCAUGCCAAAGGCCUGAGAGAGCUUAGUGUUACUUGAAAAGACUGCCCAAAUAAGUGAACCAAUUAGAUUAAUUGGCACCAGAGAUUACUGUAUGUUUUUGGACCGUACACAGAUGGAAAAGGCUCUCAAUGUUCCAUAGCUAUCAACUUGUUAGUAAAGCUUUGUUUUCUUUGAGAAUUGUGUCUAUGUAUCGUGCUGCUAUUGAUUUUCACAGAAGAAGAAUGUGAUGCACACAUCCUCCCACAAUGUGUCCAAAAAUAGGUUCCAUAUCCAGAAGUGCAGACUCUG